UUGACAUCCACGGAAUUUGGCAGAGAUGCCUUAGUGCCUUCGGGAACCGUGAGACAGGUGCUGCAUGGCUGUCGUCAGCUCGUGUUGUGAAAUGUUGGGUUAAGUCCCGCAACGAGCGCAACCCUUAUCCUUUGUUGCCAGCGAUUCGGUCGGGAACUCAAAGGAGACUGCCGGUGAUAAACCGGAGGAAGGUGGGGAUGACGUCAAGUCAUCAUGGCCCUUACGGCCAGGGCUACACACGUGCUACAAUGGCGCAUACAAAGAGAAGCGACCUCGCGAGAGCAAGCGGACCUCAUAAAGUGCGUCGUAGUCCGGAUUGGAGUCUGCAACUCGACUCCAUGAAGUCGGAAUCGCUAGUAAUCGUAGAUCAGAAUGCUACGGUCGAAUACGUUCCCGGGCCUUGUACACACCGCCCGUCACACCAUGGGAGUGGGUUGCAAAAGAAGUAGGUAGCUUAACCUUCGGGAGGGCGCUUACCACUUUGUGAUUCAUGACUGGGGUGAAGUCGUAACAAGGUAGGCGUAGCGAG
RNAcentral lists this ribosomal RNA (529 nucleotides) under uncultured bacterium. RNAcentral describes it as "bacterial SSU rRNA". It matches the Rfam family "Bacterial small subunit ribosomal RNA", at positions 981 to 1509 of the family's 1533-position model. The record is from RNAcentral.